RNAcentral lists this ribosomal RNA (1122 nucleotides) under Staphylococcus aureus. RNAcentral describes it as "bacterial SSU rRNA". The stretch from base 1 to 728 matches the Rfam family "Bacterial small subunit ribosomal RNA", at positions 801 to 1533 of the family's 1533-position model. Lineage: Bacteria; Bacillati; Bacillota; Bacilli; Caryophanales; Staphylococcaceae. The record is from RNAcentral.
UUGAUACGAUGAGUGCUAGUGUUAGGGGGUUUCCGCCCCUUAGUGCUGCAGCUAACGCAUUAAGCACUCCGCCUGGGGAGUACGACCGCAAGGUUGAAACUCAAAGGAAUUGACGGGGACCCGCACAAGCGGUGGAGCAUGUGGUUUAAUUCGAAGCAACGCGAAGAACCUUACCAAAUCUUGACAUCCUUUGACAACUCUAGAGAUAGAGCCUUCCCCUUCGGGGGACAAAGUGACAGGUGGUGCAUGGUUGUCGUCAGCUCGUGUCGUGAGAUGUUGGGUUAAGUCCCGCAACGAGCGCAACCCUUAAGCUUAGUUGCCAUCAUUAAGUUGGGCACUCUAAGUUGACUGCCGGUGACAAACCGGAGGAAGGUGGGGAUGACGUCAAAUCAUCAUGCCCCUUAUGAUUUGGGCUACACACGUGCUACAAUGGACAAUACAAAGGGCAGCGAAACCGCGAGGUCAAGCAAAUCCCAUAAAGUUGUUCUCAGUUCGGAUUGUAGUCUGCAACUCGACUACAUGAAGCUGGAAUCGCUAGUAAUCGUAGAUCAGCAUGCUACGGUGAAUACGUUCCCGGGUCUUGUACACACCGCCCGUCACACCACGAGAGUUUGUAACACCCGAAGCCGGUGGAGUAACCUUUUAGGAGCUAGCCGUCGAAGGUGGGACAAAUGAUUGGGGUGAAGUCGUAACAGGAGAAACACCGCGUAACCCUGUUUUCCCCCUUGCGUCCCAUGCGGUAUCAGCUACCGUUUCCCGUACCUAUCCCCCGCCCACUGGGUACCUUCCGAUACAUUACUCAUCCGUCUCGCCGCUCGCCACCAGACCGAAUUCUCGUGCUGCCUGUUCGACUUUUCUUCUGGUGUGCGGCCCGCUAGCGGCGAUCAACGACGGGUUUCAAAAAAAAAAAAAAAAACCCCAUCCUCCCGGCUUUUACCCCCAAUAUUUCAGAAAAACAUGUGGCCCCCCCAAUUUUAACCCGGCUUGCUGGGCAUUAUUUACCCGUGGGCUUUUAGAUUUGUCCUCGAAGAAAUGGCACAAUUGUUUACACAUAGUUUUUUUCCUCACAAAAAAAAAAUGUUUUAGAAAGGAAAAAAUUCUCUCACUGACCCGGGGUGUGUC